UAUUGGAACGGUACUUACGUAGAUUGAAA
Molecule: small RNA, 29 nt
Filed under: Bombyx mori (domestic silkworm)
Lineage: Eukaryota; Metazoa; Arthropoda; Insecta; Lepidoptera; Bombycidae
Description: ovarian small RNA-6684
Source: RNAcentral